Long non-coding RNA from Dicentrarchus labrax (European seabass), 1885 nucleotides. RefSeq lists it as uncharacterized. The transcript has 2 exons. The record is from RefSeq and is a predicted model, not a curated record. Lineage: Eukaryota; Metazoa; Chordata; Actinopteri; Moronidae.
UUUCCCAUGUCCCUUUACUAGAAGACAGACAGGAAGGGGGGGCAGAGAGAGAGGGGAUGACUAGCAGGAAAUGGCUGCAGGUUGGACUUGAACCCCCGGGCCGCUGUGGCAAGGACUCAGCCUCGGUACAUGGGUCGCCAGCUCUACCCACUGAGCCAACCAGGCGCCCUAUAAAGUGAACCAGAUGCUGAGAUAUCGGCCAAUCAAUAUCAUUUUUAAAGUUUUCUAGUGUGCCUGUAAAAUCAAGAAGGCCUUGCGACUCUCCAUGAAGCUUUGGGGACCCCUAUGUUGGGAACCAGUGGUUUAGACUAACUCUCAUCUCCCAGCUCUAAUCAUUGAGAUUGUACAGAUCACAUUAUGUCUUUAGAAAUCAUAUCAAAAAUCUAAAUACCCUGCUCACCUAUGUACCACCCACACAGAUGUUUUCACUUAUUUUGCCUGAUUAGAUCUCUUAUCAGGCAUGUGCUGACUUUUGUUAUACCUGAUAGGAUGGGACAACUUCCAUCUUCAUCAUCCUUAUUAGAAUAUUUCAGUGACCUCAAAUGAAAUCUAGCAAGAUAUAUAUGUAUAUUAAUGCAGAUGGUCUUACAGUUGUGUCACAAUGAACUAUCAGUUCGUUACAGUGUUUUACGUGUUUUCUUUGUAUUUUUUCCCUACAAAAUACACAGGGUUGUUAAAAAAAAAGUGGUAAUGAUGGCAGAGGUAUGUUUACUUAUGUCUUUCCCGAAGUGUACAGUGACCACAUCCACUUUAAGCUCUGUUGUUGUAAUUCCUCCUGGUUGCCAACAGAGGUCUAUAAAGAUCAUAGAUUAUUUUACGUUUCUAUACAUACAAUGUUAAAGUAUAUAAUGCUAAAUGUUAAAGUCACAGAAAAAUGGCACUUCAAGAGCUGCUUGCUUACUAAAUGUCUUGUGUUUUUAUGUAUUUUCUGACUGUGGAAGCAGGAUAUUAGUAUGACAGACAGAGGACUUACACAGAAACAUGUGAUGUUUUAUGGGUUAGAAUUAUGUAUGCAUGUAAUGAUGCUGUAAAAGUAAUAUAAUUUUUAUACAAAAUGGAAAAAGGACAUGAAAAAGGAAAACCUUACUGCUCAUUGUAUUGUGUCGUGAAUAUUCUUUAGGUUAGUUUAACCUGGUUGAAUAAUUUCAUGAAUGCUCGGGUCAUGUAAUUAGCAGAUUCAGGUGGAUCUCUCAGCUCUGUUUGUACAGUAUGAACCAUCUAUUGCUCCUCUUUUUUGUGCUAAUUUUUUUUCCUGCUCUGUCCAAACUCAGAAGUUGCCAACCCACUAAGGAACUGCAGGCGAUUAAGUGUGGAGGAUGAGGAUAAUUACAAGCUUGCUAUAUUCAGAGUCCCCAGUACCCACAGUCUGCCUGCCAUCCACACUCUCAGCACCCCUGCUGGGGAGAGUAUGAGGAAAUGAUCUGCUCCGCUCACCAGUCCUGAGAUGUAGAAAAACAAUAGCUGACCCAGAUGAGCAAGCACUGUGAGGCAAAAACUUACCUGUGAUCUAACCGCAGAUGUAGACACAAAAUAAGAGUGAAUGAGCUUGUCAGUCUAGAAAAUGGAUCUUUAUAUUGCAAAGAUCGUAAGAAAGGUCAAGGCAGAUCAAUAACCUCACUUUGUAUUAUUGUAUGUAAGUGUACGUGUAAGUGUAUCAUAACCUUGUUAAGAGGAUGUGCAUGUUGUGAACCUAUACAGUAUAUAGUGCUGAAACAAUUAGUUAGAAUUAGAAGUUUUUAUAGUUGAUCAGCCACUUGAGUAAUUUUUCAAGCAAAAAUACCAAACAUUGACAUAUUCUGAAGACUUCUCUCUAUUUUAUAAUUGUAUAUGAAAUAUUUUGGUGGUUUUGGACUGUUUAUCAGAUAAAACCAGCAACUGAAACAUA